Pelobates cultripes (western spadefoot toad) is the source of this 242-nucleotide non-coding RNA. NCBI's taxonomy places the organism in Eukaryota, Metazoa, Chordata, Amphibia, Anura, Pelobatidae. The record is from the annotation of a GenBank genome assembly.
AUUCACAGGUCUGAGUUAAUAAAAUGUCAGCCCCAUUCUGAUCUUAAAGGUUUAAACAAGGUGUGAUAUUAUAUUUGUGCUCCGCCAUUUUUAAAGAGCUGCUUAUAAAGCAGCAGGUAUAAACCUAGAGAGGAAUGUAAAUCGUGGAAUGUCGAUCUUGUUUCUGCCUGCUUGGCAAACAUUGCUGCUAUUACAUUCUUCUUGUGAGCCAUAACGCAGACAUGUGGAUCUUCACACUGUUU